GAGUGAACGCUGGCGGUAGGCCUAACCCAUGCAAGUCGAACGGCAGCACAGUAAGAGCUUGCUCUUACGAGUGGCGAGUGGCGGACGGGUGAGGAAUACAUCGGAAUCUACUUUUUCGUGGGGGAUAACGUAGGGAAACUUACGCUAAUACCGCAUACGACCUACGGGUGAAAGCAGGGGAUCUUCGGACCUUGCGCGAUUGAAUGAGCCGAUGUCGGAUUAGCUAGUUGGCGGGGUAAAGGCCCACCAAGGCGACGAUCCGUAGCUGGUCUGAGAGGAUGAUCAGCCACACUGGAACUGAGACACGGUCCAGACUCCUACGGGAGGCAGCAGUGGGGAAUAUUGGACAAUGGGCGCAAGCCUGAUCCAGCCAUACCGCGUGGGUGAAGAAGGCCUUCGGAUUGUAAAGCCCUUUUGUUGGGAAAGAAAAGCAGCAGGUUAAUACCCCGCUGUUCUGACGGUACCCAAAGAAUAAGCACCGGCUAACUUCGU
Molecule: ribosomal RNA, 492 nt
Filed under: uncultured bacterium
Lineage: Bacteria
Description: partial 16S ribosomal RNA
Rfam family: Bacterial small subunit ribosomal RNA
Source: RNAcentral